RNAcentral lists this ribosomal RNA (404 nucleotides) under uncultured bacterium. RNAcentral's name for it is "bacterial SSU rRNA". It matches the Rfam family "Bacterial small subunit ribosomal RNA", at positions 948 to 1353 of the family's 1533-position model. The record is from RNAcentral.
AAUUUGAUUAACGGGAAAGAACCUUACCAAGUCUUGACAUCUUUUGCUAACCUAAGAGAUUAAGCGUUCCCUUCGGGGACGGAAUGACAGGUGGUGCAUGGUUGUCGUCAGCUCGUGUCGUGAGAUGUUGGGUUAAGUCCCGCAACGAGCGCAACCCUUGUUACUAGUUGCCAGCAUUAAGUUGGGCACUCUAGUGAGACUGCCGGUGACAAACCGGAGGAAGGUGGGGACGACGUCAGAUCAUCAUGCCCCUUAUGACCUGGGCUACACACGUGCUACAAUGGACGGUACAACGAGUCGCGAAACCGCGAGGUCAAGCUAAUCUCUUAAAGCCGUUCUCAGUUCGGAUUGUAGGCUGCAACUCGCCUACAUGAAGUUGGAAUCGCUAGUAAUCGUGGAUCAGC